AUUCAGCUGAUGAAUCUCAAAUAAGACGAAACACACGUCAUGGAU
RNAcentral lists this non-coding RNA (45 nucleotides) under Schistosoma mansoni. The record is from RNAcentral. Lineage: Eukaryota; Metazoa; Platyhelminthes; Trematoda; Strigeidida; Schistosomatidae.